RNAcentral lists this ribosomal RNA (914 nucleotides) under uncultured marine archaeon. RNAcentral describes it as "bacterial SSU rRNA". It matches the Rfam family "Archaeal small subunit ribosomal RNA", at positions 1 to 922 of the family's 1478-position model. The record is from RNAcentral.
UUCCGGUUGAUCCCGCCGGACCUGACUGCUAUCGGAUUGAUACUAAGCCAUGCGAGUCAUUGUAGUAAUACAAGGCAUACGGCUCAGUAACGCGUAGUCAACCUACCCUAUGGACAAGAAUAAUCUCGGGAAACUGAGCAUAAUUCUUGAUAGAUCAUAAUGCCUGGAAUGGUUUAUGGUUAAAAUGAUUCGUCGCCAUAGGAUGGGACUGCGGCCUAUCAGCUUGUUGGUGAGGUAAUGGCCCACCAAGGCGAUUACAGGUACGGGCUCUGAGAGGAGAAGCCCGGAGAUGGGUACUGAGACAAGGACCCAGGCCCUAUGGGGCGCAGCAGGCGAGAAAACUUUGCAAUGUGCGAAAGCACGACAAGGUUAGUCCGAGUGAUUUCUGCUAAAGAGAUCUUUUGCUAGUUAUAAAACCACUAGUGAAUAAGGGGUGGGCAAGUUCUGGUGUCAGCCGCCGCGGUAAAACCAGCACCUCAAGUGGUCAGGAUGAUUAUUGGGCCUAAAGCAUCCGUAGCCGGCUCUGUAAGUUUUCGGUUAAAUCUAUGCGCUCAACGUAUGGGCUGCCGAAAAUACUGUAGAGAUAGGGAGUGGGAGAGGUAGACGGUACUCGGUAGGAAGGGGUAAAAUCCUUUGAUCUAUCGAUGACCACCUGUGGCGAAGGCGGUCUACCAGAACACGUUCGACGGUGAGGGAUGAAAGCUGGGGGAGCAAACCGGAUUAGAUACCCGGGUAGUCCCAGCUGUAAACGAUGCAGACUCGAUGAUGCAUUGGCAUAUAGCCAGUGCAGUGUCGCAGGGAAGCCGUUAAGUCUGCCGCCUGGGAAGUACGUACGCAAGUAUGAAACUUAAAGGAAUUGGCGGGGGAGCACCACAAGGGGUGAAGCCUGCGGUUCAAUUGGAUUCAACGCCGGG